Molecule: ribosomal RNA, 463 nt
Filed under: uncultured bacterium
Lineage: Bacteria
Description: partial 16S ribosomal RNA
Rfam family: Bacterial small subunit ribosomal RNA
Source: RNAcentral
GACGAACGCUGGCGGCGUGCUUAACACAUGCAAGUCGAACGGUGAACCUCUUCUUUGUGGAUCAGUGGCGAACGGGUGAGUAACACGUGGGCAACCUGCCCCCGACCCUGGGAUAACUCCAAGAAAUCGGGGCUAAUACCGGAUGUUCACGGCUUCCCCCAUGGGUGGUGGUGGAGAGGGUUUCCGGCUGGGGAUGGGCCCGCGGCCGAUCAGCUUGUUGGUGGGGUAGUGGCCUACCAAGGCGACGACGGGUAGCCGGCCUGAGAGGGUGACCGGCCGCACUGGGACUGAGAGGCGGCCAAGACUCCUACGGGAGGCAGCAGUGGGGAAUGUUGCGCGAUGGGCGGAAGCGUGAGGCAGCGACGCCGCGUGGGGGAUGACGGCCUUCGGGUUGUAAACCGCUUUCAGCAGGGACGAAGCGCAAGUGACGGUACCUGCAGAAGAAGCACCGGCCAACUACGUG